CGGUUGAGAGGGCUGCUUUGGCGGUCCGCCGGAUGAAAAUCCGCUCGGCUG
RNAcentral lists this non-coding RNA (51 nucleotides) under unclassified sequences. Its description in RNAcentral is "DUF3800-VI RNA". It matches the Rfam family "DUF3800-VI RNA". Rfam says of the family: Actinobacteria, Planctomycetes, Proteobacteria, Spirochaetes. Nearby to DUF3800 The record is from RNAcentral.